RNAcentral lists this unclassified non-coding RNA (233 nucleotides) under Hevea brasiliensis (rubber tree). The record is from RNAcentral. Lineage: Eukaryota; Viridiplantae; Streptophyta; Magnoliopsida; Malpighiales; Euphorbiaceae.
AAGACCUCCUACGAAACGUUCGUUGCCGAGUCGCAGAAGAUCGGCGAACUCUACACCGAUCUUGCCAAGCAGGCUUUCAAGCCUUUCGAAGGCAUCGUCGCGAAGGUUUCGCAGACCACUCACUAAUUUUACGGUUCUCUACCAAGAGAAAAGCCCGGCUUCGCAGCCGGGCUUUUUUAUUGUCUCGAUCUGUUUUGCUUACUUCGCGAUACGCAGUUUCGAGAGCGCCGUGC